Molecule: microRNA, 22 nt
Filed under: Ornithorhynchus anatinus (platypus)
Lineage: Eukaryota; Metazoa; Chordata; Mammalia; Monotremata; Ornithorhynchidae
Description: oan-miR-1334
Source: miRBase by way of RNAcentral
UUAGGAAGUGAUUUCUUCAGGC